UCAGCCUCCUGAGUGGCUGGGACUGCAGCCUCGAUCUUCCGUUUAUUAAGAGGUGGUGCAGCUGGAUGCAGUGGCUCAUGCCUGUAAUCCCAGCGCUUUGGGAGGCCUGGAUGGGAGGAUUGCAUGAGCCUGGGAGAUCAAGACCAGCCUGGGCAACAUAGGGAGGCCCCACCACUACAAAAAAUAAAAAAAGCAGCUGGGUGUAGUGGCAUGUGCCUGUAGUCCCAGCUACAUAGAAGGGAGGCCGAGACAGGAGGAUCGCUUGAGCCUGGAGACCAAGGCUAUGAGGCCAAGUGAGCUAUGAUCUUGUUACUGCACUCCAGCCUGGGCAACAGAGUGAGACCCUAUAUGAAAAAGAAAAAACGAUUAAUGAGAUGGAAGUGCAGUGUCUCAUACGCUUGCCUAUUCUGUUCCGGCUGGCUCAGCCUUCCUGGCCUCUGCUUCCCUUUCUGCACUACUUCAGGGCUCCUUCACCUGGUCCUGGCUGACCCUGCCUUGAGGGAUGAGGCUGGUUGGGACUCCGGCCAGGUCAGGAUCACAACCUCUGGGGCCUGUGGUGGUCGCACCUCCCCCUGGAGCCCAGGGAAUGUGUCCUACGGCCUCUGAAGUCCCGCCUUGGUUGGACAGGAGGGUUUCUCUUUUUUUUUUUUUUUUUUUUGAGACAAGAUGUUGCUCUGUCACUCAGUGGCACAGUCAGCUCACUGCAGCCUCCAUCUUCCAGGAUCAAGUCAUCCUCCCAC
This 740-nucleotide long non-coding RNA is filed under the name Homo sapiens (human). The record is from RNAcentral. Lineage: Eukaryota; Metazoa; Chordata; Mammalia; Primates; Hominidae.